CCUACGGGUGACUGCAGUGGGGAAUAUUGCGCAAUGGGCGAAAGCCUGACGCAGCGACGCCGCGUGAGGGAUGAAGGUCUUCGGAUCGUAAACCUCUGUCAGCAGGGAAGAACGGUCACUGUGCUAAUCAGCAGUGAAUUGACGGUACCUGCAAAGGAAGCACCGGCUAACUCCGUGCCAGCAGCCGCGGUAAUACGGAGGGUGCGAGCGUUCCUCGGACUUACUGGGCGUAAAGCGCUCGUAGGCGGUAUGGCAAGUCAAGGGUGAAAUCCCCGCGCGCAGCGUGGGAACUGCCGGUGAAACUGGCAAAGGGGAGUGUGUGAGAGGAUAGGGGAAGGGCAGGUGUAGGAGUGA
RNAcentral lists this ribosomal RNA (354 nucleotides) under uncultured bacterium. RNAcentral's name for it is "partial 16S ribosomal RNA". It matches the Rfam family "Bacterial small subunit ribosomal RNA", at positions 338 to 684 of the family's 1533-position model. The record is from RNAcentral.